Molecule: ribosomal RNA, 253 nt
Filed under: uncultured bacterium
Lineage: Bacteria
Description: partial 16S ribosomal RNA
Rfam family: Bacterial small subunit ribosomal RNA
Source: RNAcentral
UACGUAGGGGGCAAGCGUUGUUCGGAAUUACUGGGCGUAAAGGGCGCGUAGGCGGUACUUCAAGUCAGGCGUGAAAGCCCCGGGCUCAACCUGGGAACCGCGCUUGAGACUGGAGAACUAGAGUUCGGGAGAGGAUGGUGGAAUUCCCAGUGUAGAGGUGAAAUUCGUAGAUAUUGGGAAGAACACCGAUGGCGAAGGCAGCCAUCUGGACCGACACUGACGCUGAGGCGCGAAAGCGUGGGGAGCAAACAGG